GUAGUCAUAUGCUUGUCUCAAGCCAUGCAUGUCUAAGUAUAAGCACUUUAUACGGUGAAACUGCGAAUGGCUCAUUAAAUCAGUUAUCGUUUAUUUGAUAGUGCCUUACUACAUGGAUACCUGUGGUAAUUCUAGAGCUAAUACAUGCUGAAAACCCCGACUUCGGAAGGGGUGUAUUUAUUAGAUAAAAAACCAACGCCCUUCGGGGCUCCUUGGUGAUUCAUGAUAACUUAACGAAUCGCAUGGCCUUGCGCCGGCGAUGGUUCAUUCAAAUUUCUGCCCUAUCAACUUUCGAUGGUAGGAUAGUGGCCUACCAUGGUGGCAACGGGUAACGGGGAAU
This 340-nucleotide ribosomal RNA is filed under the name uncultured Sagenomella. RNAcentral describes it as "SSU rRNA". It matches the Rfam family "Eukaryotic small subunit ribosomal RNA", at positions 20 to 370 of the family's 1831-position model. Lineage: Eukaryota; Fungi; Ascomycota; Eurotiomycetes; Eurotiales; Trichocomaceae. The record is from RNAcentral.